This 497-nucleotide ribosomal RNA is filed under the name uncultured bacterium. Its description in RNAcentral is "partial 16S ribosomal RNA". It matches the Rfam family "Bacterial small subunit ribosomal RNA", at positions 28 to 507 of the family's 1533-position model. The record is from RNAcentral.
GAUGAACGCUGGCGGCGUGCCUAAUACAUACAAGUCGAGCGAACAGACGAGGAGCUUGCUCCUCUGACGUUAGCGGCGGACGGGUGAGUAACACGUGGAUAACCUACCUAUAAGACUGGGAUAACUUCGGGAAACCGGAGCUAAUACCGGAUAAUAUAUUGAACCGCAUGGUUCAAUAGUGAAAGACGGUUUUGCUGUCACUUAUAGAUGGAUCCGCGCCGCAUUAGCUAGUUGGUAAGGUAACGGCUUACCAAGGCAACGAUGCGUAGCCGACCUGAGAGGGUGAUCGGCCACACUGGAACUGAGACACGGUCCAGACUCCUACGGGAGGCAGCAGUAGGGAAUAUUCCGCAAAGGGCGAAAGCCUGACGGAGCAACGCCGCGUGAGUGAUGAAGGUCUUCGGAUCGUAAAACUCUGUUAUUAGGGAAGAACAAAUGUGUAAGUAACUAUGCACGUCUUGACGGUACCUAAUCAGAAAGCCACGGCUAACUACGUG